AGAUGUGGAGGCCUCCUGCUCGGGGCUUGCCGCCUCAUGGUCUGGUCCUGGUGUUCAUUAAAAGUUGCGCCACUGCCAGCAGAGGACUACCUGGCUGCGAAGCUGGAGGCAACCUGCUGCUCACCCUGAAGGAACCCUUUGUUCUGUUGAACACCACGUAUUCAUGAGCGAUGUUUCACAAGCUGUGACCACCUGCCAGCAUUGGAGAGACACAAAACAUCUGGCUCUCCAGAAAGCAUCCAGAGCAUGUUCUCACUUGCCCAAAUGUGGCGGCAUCAUCAACCAAGAAAUCAAGUGAGCUUUUUCAGUGCCAAUGCAAAGCAACCAGUGAGUCAAUGCUGCACCCUGGUGGACAACUAAUAAAGAAGCAGUAGAUACCAAGUCAUGCAAUUUGGAUGACCAUUGUAUCCUG
Molecule: long non-coding RNA, 412 nt
Organism: Syngnathus acus (greater pipefish)
Lineage: Eukaryota; Metazoa; Chordata; Actinopteri; Syngnathiformes; Syngnathidae
Exons: 3
Source: RefSeq, a predicted model, not a curated record